This 115-nucleotide ribosomal RNA is filed under the name Prolemur simus (greater bamboo lemur). Lineage: Eukaryota; Metazoa; Chordata; Mammalia; Primates; Lemuridae. The record is from RNAcentral.
AUCUACACCCAUACCACCCUGAAAGUGCCCAAUCUCGUCUGAUCUCAGAAGCUAAGCAGCGUUGAGCCUUGUUAGUACUUGGAUGGGAAAAAAGAGCGCCAGACUAGAGAGGAUG